This is a long non-coding RNA of Solea solea (common sole), 238 nucleotides long. RefSeq lists it as uncharacterized. NCBI's taxonomy places the organism in Eukaryota, Metazoa, Chordata, Actinopteri, Pleuronectiformes, Soleidae. The record is from RefSeq and is a predicted model, not a curated record. The transcript has 3 exons.
CGGUAGUAUAUAAUAGGCGAGCUGAUGUUCAGGAGAAGAAGAAGAAGCGCCUACAGCAGCAGUUACUGGUUAGCUCGGUCACUGCCGCCUCUGCUACACGCGCUGAUACCAGCUCAACAUGGCUGCUACAAAUGGCCACUUCAAGUCACCACCACCACCUCAGAACCGGAAAUGUGUGUUUAAGAAAGGUCUUGCAAAGGAAGUGACUCCUACAGUGACAUGAAUUAAGGUGUGUAUC